CCUACGGGAGGCAGCAGUGGGGGAUAUUGCACAAUGGGGGAAACCCUGAUGCAGCGACGCCGCGUGAGUGAAGAAGUAUUUCGGUAUGGAAAGCUCUAUCAGCAGGGAAGAAAAUGACAGUACCGGACCAAGAAGCCCCGGCUAACUACGGGCCAGCAGCCGAGGUAAUACGUAGGGGGCAAGCGUUAUCCGGAUUUACUGGGUGUAAAGGUAGCGUAGACGGUUAUGUAAGGCUGGAGUGAAAGCCCGGGGCCCAACCCCGGGACUGCUUUGGAAACUGGGUAACUGGAGUACAGUAGGGGCAGGCGGAAGUCCUGGUGUAGCGGUGAAAUGCGUAGAUAGCAGGAGGAACACCGGCGGCGAAGGCAGCCUGCUGGACUGAAACUGACGUUGAGGCUCGAAAGCGUGGGGAGCAAACAGGAUUAGAUACCCCAGUAGUC
RNAcentral lists this ribosomal RNA (440 nucleotides) under uncultured bacterium. RNAcentral's name for it is "partial 16S ribosomal RNA". It matches the Rfam family "Bacterial small subunit ribosomal RNA", at positions 338 to 795 of the family's 1533-position model. The record is from RNAcentral.